RNAcentral lists this ribosomal RNA (405 nucleotides) under uncultured bacterium. RNAcentral's name for it is "partial 16S ribosomal RNA". It matches the Rfam family "Bacterial small subunit ribosomal RNA", at positions 30 to 526 of the family's 1533-position model. The record is from RNAcentral.
AUUGAACGCUGCGGCAGGCUUAACACAUGCAAGUCGAGCGAGCGGCGGACGGGUGAGUAAUGCUUAUGAAUCUGCCUAUUAGUGGGGGACAACAUCUCGAACGGGAUGCUAAUACCGCAUACUAAUACAUGAGCCUCAGUCGGAUUAGCUAGUUGGUGGGGUAAAGGCCUACCAAGGCGACGAUCUCUAGCGGGUCUGGGAAGAAGAUCAAGCACACUGGGACGUAGGAAAGGCCCAGACUCCUACGGGAGGCAGCAGUGGGGAAUAUUGGGCAAUGGGGGGAACCCUGAUCCAGGCAAGCCGGGGGUGUGAAGAAGGCCUUAUGGGUGGAAAAGAAUUUUAGCGAGGAAACGGUACUCGCAGAAUAAGCACCGGCUAACUACGUGCCAGCAGCCGCGGUAAUUC